AGAACUGUAUCAUGGACUACUACCACAAAAACUGUUCUAUACAAGGUUGUGAACAAACUACAACCCUUGUUGUAUUUACAUCUCCCUAGCUGAAACCCAUAGGCCAAGAGGGGAAAGGGCUACAGACCACAUUCCCUCCAGUUGGUUUGUGGGUGGGCAUUCCUGUUUGAUCUUUAUUUCUAACGGACAGAUGAACUCAGACUCCCAUCUUCUUCUUGAUGAAAGUCUGAUGGGAAAGGCCAUUGAGCGACAGCUCGUGCACCUUACAGUUGUUCUCACACUACAGUAGAAAUGCUCUCUGUAAAAUGAAAUUAUUUUUACACUCCUAUCAUGCUCUGCUUCAGGGUUACCUGGAGAUUAUUGUUAACAUUUUGGUUCUGUGAUUUUUACUUUAAAUCUGGGAAUGUGAGACAGGAUGACAAUGCAGACCUUCGGUGUGAAAUAUAUUAUACUCUAUUUUCCAUGAGGUCUCCACUCACCAAACGAUUUGAGUGAAGGGCUGAUGGCCUCUUAGCUACAGCCAACACUCCCAGUUCUAAUUUGGCAAUACUUCACACUUCCUUCCUUCCUCUUGAGGGGACAAUGAGAGUCCAGUGUCCUCUUGAUCUAAGUUGCCUUCCUGGGGGACUGGGAACUUUUGUUUCUCGUGACAUUUUUCUUUGCUUCAUUAUUGAGAUCUCUCAAAUAGAUUACAUAGAUUUGGGGAUUUUCCUUUCAAAUUGAGCUGACUUUUUUUUUUAGGCUGAUUUUUUUUCUCCCCUGAUAUUUGAUAUUUAAACAAUUCCAGUUAGAUGAGUAAUCUUUCUACUGACCUAGAAAUAAUAAUAAUAAUAAUAAUAACAAUAAUAAAAUCAACAAAUAUAUGAGUUCUUAUAGAAAGUAAUAUCAUUAUAAAUUAUCUUAUGGAAAUUGCCACAUGGACCAAGAUUGAGAAACUGACAAAAUAGUCACGUGAACUAGAAGCAGAGCAGCUGCCCACUGGCUGUCAUUGUCAUUAAAAUCUAAAACAGCUUGGACAUUACCAUUGCUGUUGAUGCGAAUAUCAUCACAUACCUGCGCUGCCACUCUAAGUGAUUGCAUAUCAAAGGAUGAGAAACAACGAAUGAAAAGUAAGUGUGUGGCUCCAGCAGGUUCUGCGUAUUACAACAGUUACUUGAACUUCCAGUUUUUAAUUGUAUGAAUGUUCAGACUCCUGUUUUCCUUGUGCAUGGAGGCUGGCACCUGGCCAAGGGGUAGAAUGUGUCCCUGAGUUGUGCUAUGCCUCGGAUUUCAUCCCCAGGGCCACCGUCAGUUAGCUCUAAGCAAAUAAAUAGAACGUGGGGAGCUGAAGCAAAGAAAGCCUCGUCAACUUCUCAGAAACAGAUCUGUGCAAUAUUAGUUUAUAGAAACAAAAAUAUAGGUCAUUUGCCGUAAAAUGACACGAUGUGAGAAAAUGCCCUCCCUAAGGGGAAGAGAGUGAUGUCAUGCCUUUGCUGUAAGCUGUUGUUUGUGUUUUAGAAGAUACAUAGACACUAUCUUCAAAAAAUCAUAAACAUGUGUUCUGUUUCUGGUUAACAGAAACUUUCAUCUUGUAUAAAGACUCUCCACUUGGUGUGGUGGCACACCUUUAAUCUUAGCACUUGGGAGGCAGAGCUCUGUGUUUGUAGCCGUCCUGGUCUAUAUACCAAGUCUCAGAACAGCUGGGGCUACAAAAUAGAGAGAAACUGUCUCAGAAAUCCAAGACAAAACAAGUCUCCAAUUGGCCACAGCAUAUCAGGAUAACAGAAAUUACACACCUAAGUGUAUGCUAAUAUCUUUACAUCUUGCAGAUGUUAUUUCACAACCAGGCAGUAUCCAUGAAUUUUCCUAAACAAUGUUACCCUUAGCUAUUUUAUGUUAUUCAUAAUUUAGAGUCUUAUAUAUAUACCUAAAUUUGAUUUCAAUUUUUUUUCUUACCUUUCCUCAAAGUUGUAAAAUAAUUUCACCAAAAUUUAAAGACAUAGAGGGAGGAGGGAGAGACCAUAUUAAUAUGAUCAAAUGUAUUGAUACUCUACUGUGCAUGUUUAAGUGUAAUAGUGGUAGAGUAAUUACUGAUAUUAAGCUAUAAAUUAUCAUUAAAAAGUUGAUUCUAGUUUUUAGCACACAGACAGUUAAAUAAAAUGAAAUGCCAUUUUUUUUCAGUAAAUGUGCAUUGGUUUCUAAAAUGUGGAAGGCAAUACUAGGUGCAGGCAGCUUACAUUAAGACCAGCUGAGUAUCAGGCUGAGGCAAGUGAGCAUACAGCAGCCAGAGUGUGUACACUCUGACACUUGAAUGAGGUGGCUUAAUGAACACUUUGCACUUUUCAUGGGAGGAAUCGUUCUAUCGCCCGUUUAGUCCCGCUUUGGGCUCUUUCUGAAUUGUAGUGCACCACCUGUUUGUUGACUAUACAGUUCCCAGGAAAAACCCAGGCUGGAUCCUGCCCUGCCUUUCACUCUUCUUAAAGAUACUUCAGAAGUGACGUGGUGCUUCCUCCGUCCCUUAUUACGAACCCUCUAGAAAUAGAAAUAAAUUACCAUCCAUCCAUGUAAGUAAUAGUGAAAAUUACAAAAUGGAAUACAAAAUUACGUAUGAAAAACGCAGCUUAAAUCCCUCCACGACUUAGGAAGAAAACAUCCUCUCUGUGCACAGCAUCAUUGGCCCUUUUUAGUUUGGUUUGUUUUGUUUAAUGUCCAGCACCUCCAGAUUUUCAAGGGCGUGUGUAGCAUUUAUUUGAUGUAUGGAUGCAGAGGCACAUCUCCCGCAUUUGUCUCUGUGGACCUACCCUUUGUGAAAUCCUAAACCCUGGUAUUAACGCUUGCAUGGUCUGAGUCAUGGUUCUUCUGAGAGAAUUAUAUAAUUUUUAGGGUAUUUGUUUGAUAUACGUG
Molecule: long non-coding RNA, 2883 nt
Filed under: Mus musculus (house mouse)
Lineage: Eukaryota; Metazoa; Chordata; Mammalia; Rodentia; Muridae
Description: long non-coding RNA chr18:69629354-69632237
Source: RNAcentral